AGAAACAAAAAAUUAGUUUGUAUAAAAAGAUUGUGUGUAUCUUUAAGAAACAUACUAAAUUUUUUUUUCUGUAUGAAUAAUGAUAGUCUUAUAAAUAUUUUUAUUAAUUUACUCUAUAAGAGAAUCAAUAAUUGCCUAUCGACUUACACUACUCAUGUAGAAGGCCUUAAGUUCUUCAUUAAAAAGCUUACGAAUAAAAAUAAAGGAUAUAACAAAAUAAUGAAAUUUGAAAAACUAUUUGUAAAAAAUAUACAAUAUAACCAUACAUUAUUUAAUCUUUUAAAUACUAAAAUGGGAUUAGUUAAUUAUUUAAUUUUUUUAUUAAAAAAAAAAGAAAAUUUUUCUUUUAAACAAAAAAGUGAAGAACAAAGAAAAACAUACCUAAAAAACGUAUACAUGGACAAUUCGAAGAAAUGUACCUUAAAAAAUGAAGAACUUAAUAAAAAAAUAAAAUACAUUUUAAUAAAUGUGGACAAAUUGUUAUCAUUACAUAUGACAAAUAGAAACAAAAAUAUAGCUAUCAAAAAAAAAAUAUAUGUCAAUUGGAAUAGUAAAAGUAAAAAAGUAAGAGAUAAGUUUGUGUUUUUGGCAAAUGACAAGAGUAAAAAUGAAAGGACAUGUUACAGAUUAAGUGGAAAAUCGAGUGAAAAAUCGAGUAACAACACAAAUUUAAUUAACAACUGUAUUAAUGAAAAAAAAAAAACUUACAACGCUGUUAUAGAAGAAAGAAUAAAAACAGGUACAUGCAAUGUUCAAAAUUUAUCUGCAAACAUUAAAAAAAAAAAACACAGUAAUAAUAAUAGUAAUGGUAAUAAAAUAAAACUAUGUGGUAAUAAAUUUGGUUUUUCCAAAAAACGUAUAAAAAAUUUAAUGUGUGUAGAUCAUCCCAGUUUAAGUAAUAUUCACUGCUCUACUUGCUUAUUUAUUAAUUUAAUUAACAAAGCGUAUAAUCAAAUUAAAUACAACCACAGUAAAACAAAAGUUUGUAAUAGGAAGACUAAAUUAAUAUGUAAUAAAAUAAAACAAGAACGGUUUUGUUUAGUUUCCAAAUUACGUAUAUCUUCAAAUAAUACUAAUAACACUGAUGAACACAAUGGUAUAUAUACAGGACACCUAAACAAACGAAAAUGUGACAAACAUAAAUUAAAUAAUUUUUUAAAAAAGAAAAAAAAAAUACUGUACACAACGGGAAAAUAUAGUAACAAAAGUUAUGAAUUUUGUGAUAACGAAAAAAGUGAAAACACAGUUUUCAAAAAAGAAUUAAAAAAAAAGAACAUAAGUAAAAAAGUUCGCAUAACAUGGAACAAUAGUCAUGAUAAUAAGAAUAUAAUAAAUAAUCAAAGUUCUGCAAAAAAUGAUAGUUCUCGUGGGGAGGUGAAUGUUGACAAUGACCAUGACUUAUUGAGUGCUUAUUUGAUAAAUGUUUGUAAGAGUGGUAGUGAUGGUAGUAAUAGCAUUAGCGAUAUCAACGGAAAUAGUAGAAACAGAAGCAACAUCAACAGCAACAGUAACAGCAACAGUAACAGUAACAGUAACAGUAACAGUAACAGCAACAGUAACAGCAACAGCAACAGCAACAGCAACAGUAACAGCAACAGUAACAGCAACAUCAACAGUAACAGUAACAGCAACAUCAACAGCAACAGUAACAGCAACAUCAACAGUAACAUCAACAGUAACAUCAACAGCAACAGCAAUAACAGUAAUAACAACAACAACAACAUUAAUAACAACAGUAAUAACAACAACAACAACAGAAGCAACCAUGGUAAUAACAACAAUAGCCGCAGUAGCUAUAGUAGCACCUCGUUUGAAUUCAGUAGGAACUCAUACGAAAAUAUUCAGGACAUGAGUAACAGCGUUUUAAACAUUUAUAUGGAUGAAUAUAGAAACAGCUUAGAAAAUGAUGCAUUAAUUGAUCACAUAUAUGACUUACAGCCAAUACACUUAGCAACAAAAGAAGGAAACAUUGAAUUAAUUAAUAAAUUUUUAAAAGCAGGUAUAUACAUAAAUAGUAAAACACGAGUAAGAAAAUUU
Molecule: long non-coding RNA, 2037 nt
Organism: Piliocolobus tephrosceles (Ugandan red Colobus)
Lineage: Eukaryota; Metazoa; Chordata; Mammalia; Primates; Cercopithecidae
Source: Ensembl